CCUACACACUCUUAAUAAGACAAACCACAAUUAAAAACUCUACAAGGUGUGUUAUUUCUACAAUCUUUGGUAGGACAAAUUAGCCUACAUGCAACAUAAAACAUAACUUGCAUUUAAAUUUAGAUGCCAACAUCCAAUAUAUGCACAUUACUUGGUGAAGGUUAUUUUUCCAUUGUGCAAACAUGGUUAUUAGUCAUGAGCAUAUGUAGGUUCACUACCGGCCCAUGCCAAAUUAGAUUU
This 240-nucleotide long non-coding RNA is filed under the name Elaeis guineensis (African oil palm). Its description in RNAcentral is "long non-coding RNA (EGUI_LNC019892)". The record is from RNAcentral. Lineage: Eukaryota; Viridiplantae; Streptophyta; Magnoliopsida; Arecales; Arecaceae.